This 271-nucleotide ribosomal RNA is filed under the name Pseudomonas aeruginosa. RNAcentral describes it as "partial 23S ribosomal RNA". It matches the Rfam family "Bacterial large subunit ribosomal RNA", at positions 2674 to 2925 of the family's 2925-position model. Lineage: Bacteria; Pseudomonadati; Pseudomonadota; Gammaproteobacteria; Pseudomonadales; Pseudomonadaceae. The record is from RNAcentral.
GCUCCUAGUACGAGAGGACCGGAGUGGACGAACCUCUGGUGUUCCGGUUGUCACGCCAGUGGCAUUGCCGGGUAGCUAUGUUCGGAAAAGAUAACCGCUGAAAGCAUCUAAGCGGGAAACUUGCCUCAAGAUGAGAUCUCACUGGGAACUUGAUUCCCCUGAAGGGCCGUCGAAGACUACGACGUUGAUAGGCUGGGUGUGUAAGCGUUGUGAGGCGUUGAGCUAACCAGUACUAAUUGCCCGUGAGGCUUGACCAUAUAACACCCAAACA